GUGGCUUUAUCCCAUUACUCCGUCUUUCCCCCUUUUUCUCUCUCUCUACGCCCUAAUCCUCCCCGCCGAGGACCACCACCCCUCUCCAAUUCGUCUCCUUCGAUCCGAUCUUCGCCUCUGGCAAGCUCAUCGUCAUCGCCGCCGCCAACGACGACUUCCUCCCCGCCCUCUCUCAGCCUCUAAUUUUCGAUCCGCUCUCCGAAAAAUGGACCCUCGGCCUGCAGCUCGCCUCCGCCCGCCGCUGGUGCGUUGCCGGCGCCUCUCGCGGCGCCUCUCGCGGCGCCGUCUUCGUCGUCAGCGGGAUCAGCUCACAAUACAACAGAGUUAUGAUUUUACUUCAAUUGGAGCUAUUUUUGCUGCAACAGAUAUUGUUUGUAUGCUGCUAGACCAACUAUCUCAGGAUAAUUGGUCUAGUGUGUUGUUUAAAAUGGGUGGUGGGAUUGUUCUGAGUCUUGGCAAUCUGGCGACGCAGUGUGCUUGGGCAUUCGUUGGUUUGUCAGUGACUCAGGUUAAUUAUCACAUCUAGCAUAACUGUUGUCAUAGGAACGACGUUGAAUUAUUUCUUGGACGGAAAAAUCAACAAUGCUGCUGACAACAAAGCUAAGCUUGCUAUCUAUUCCAAUGAUAGCAAAUAUGCAGCUGUUGGCAAGAAUGCUCAUGCUUCUAAAGAAACUAAUUGAAACAAAGGUUUAGAGAAUGGAGGCGACAAAGCAAAGUAUGGCACUACAGAUAUUCUCAAAAGAGUUCGAAAAAGUCGAAAAUGUAGAUCACAAUUUGCUCGGUUUUAUAGACUUUGGCUCUUUCUUGUCCUUCCCACACCAAACUCAAUCCCAUCCUUUUCUGAAAAUAUGGCUGCAGUGGGACCCGCCAACCCUCGACGCCGUUGAGGCAGAAAAGAUCGAGAAGAUAUUCCAGCCAUUCGAAGAGGAUUUGGAACUCAAGAUUCCAACAGGAGAUGAAUUCAGGUGGCAAGGAAAGUAUGAAGAUUCACCAUAUGCAACUUCCAAGUGAGCCAACAAGAAAAUCAUCAAGUCAAUGGGUUCAACGAUCUUCAGUUCGACUGGAAAUCAUCUCCUUGAUCUCUUCGGCGUUUAUUUGGUUUCGACUGUUUGUGCAGCUUAAGAUCAUUGGUGUUGGGAAAGAUAUGCAUAUGCAAAGGAGAAAACAAGAAAAUGGCACAUUGUAGAAUUUUUUCAUUACAGUUUUUACCCUCCAACUUUUCUACUCUUUGUUUUACUAGUUGCAGAAAAUGGCACAUUGUAGAUUUGUUGAAUGUUAGCACCCUCCAAUUUGUAUGAGAUUUGUUGAAUUUGAAGUUGGUUUGUUGAAUACGUUAAUAGAUGAAUUUCUAUGAUAUUGGAUUGUUAUUGCA
This is an RNA transcript of Salvia miltiorrhiza (redroot sage), 1372 nucleotides long. It is a transcript of the gene named ureide permease 4-like, with no coding region annotated. NCBI's taxonomy places the organism in Eukaryota, Viridiplantae, Streptophyta, Magnoliopsida, Lamiales, Lamiaceae. The record is from RefSeq and is a predicted model, not a curated record. The transcript is spliced from 8 exons.